UUCUGUGUUAAAACCCUUUACAUGCAUCCAUCUUCGCGUCGGCCCUGUGAAGUCGCCACCGUGAUUAGCCUCAGUUUUCAGAGGAAGAUGCUGAGAUUCAGAAAGAUAAAGCGACUUGCCUGCAGUCGCAGGUCAGACUGGUGAAUACUUGUGUUACCAGGCAGUUGGCACCCAAGGCCCCCAAAGGGAAGAACAGAGCUUUCAACUCUUUCAUCAUCAAAGACACUUAUGGAGUAUAGGCAGUCUCUUCUACCAUUACAUAUGGGAAUACUUGAACAUGGGUAUGAACUACAAGAAGAUACCAGUAGAGAAAAUGAAUUUCAAAGUAAAAAAGAAGGUUCUGCCAAUGAGAACCCUCACUUGAGGAAGGUGGGAAGAAGGGAAAAGUCUUUCUGUUUUUGGCAGUGCCUCUGGCAACAUCAGCAGCAGUGGUUCCAACCUAGCGAAUGGAGACCCUU
Vicugna pacos (alpaca) is the source of this 458-nucleotide non-coding RNA. The record is from RefSeq and is a predicted model, not a curated record. Lineage: Eukaryota; Metazoa; Chordata; Mammalia; Artiodactyla; Camelidae.